CAUAUUAAGCGUAUCUUCUCUCAAGCUUCUGCCGUGACCAACUGCGGGAAUUUUCAGCAGUAGCACACGGCGGACGCUUCAGAUGAGUUACGCUCAAUGC
Molecule: microRNA precursor, 100 nt
Filed under: Petromyzon marinus (sea lamprey)
Lineage: Eukaryota; Metazoa; Chordata; Hyperoartia; Petromyzontiformes; Petromyzontidae
Description: microRNA pma-mir-4568 precursor
Source: miRBase by way of RNAcentral